GCGAGUAUGGCCCUCACGGGUCUAAUCCACCAUAAACACCUUUGUGAACCAGUCAGGGGGACUCGGCCGUGAAAGCCCAGGCGAUUAGCGGAAGGGCCCUCCUUUGCAAACCCGUUUAAAAGUCUUGAAAGUACUUUUGUAUAAUCUAGUA
Molecule: unclassified non-coding RNA, 151 nt
Filed under: soil metagenome
Description: partial internal transcribed spacer 1
Source: RNAcentral